This 497-nucleotide ribosomal RNA is filed under the name uncultured bacterium. RNAcentral's name for it is "partial 16S ribosomal RNA". It matches the Rfam family "Bacterial small subunit ribosomal RNA", at positions 28 to 507 of the family's 1533-position model. The record is from RNAcentral.
GAUGAACGCUGGCGGCGUGCCUAAUACAUGCAAGUCGAGCGAACGGACGAGAAGCUUGCUUUUCUGAUGUUAGCGGCGGACGGGUGAGUAACACGUGGAUAACCUACCUAUAAGACUGGGAUAACUUCGGGAAACCGGAGCUAAUACCGGAUAAUAUUUUGAACCGCAUGGUUCAUAAGUGAAAGACGGUCUUGCUGUCACUUAUAGAUGGAUCCGCGCUGCAUUAGCUAGUUGGUAAGGUAACGGCUUACCAAGGCAACGAUGCAUAGCCGACCUGAGAGGGUGAUCGGCCACACUGGAACUGAGACACGGUCCAGACUCCUACGGGAGGCAGCAGUAGGGAAUCUUCCGCAAUGGGCGAAAGCCUGACGGAGCAACGUCGCGUGAGUGAUGAAGGUCUUCGGAUCGUAAAACUCUGUUAUUAGGGAAGAACAUAUGUGUAAGUAACUGUGCACAUCUUGACGGUACCUAAUCAGAAAGCCACGGCUAACUACGUG